This 520-nucleotide ribosomal RNA is filed under the name uncultured Glomus. RNAcentral's name for it is "SSU rRNA". It matches the Rfam family "Eukaryotic small subunit ribosomal RNA", at positions 569 to 1089 of the family's 1831-position model. The record is from RNAcentral. Lineage: Eukaryota; Fungi; Glomeromycota; Glomeromycetes; Glomerales; Glomeraceae.
AGCAGCCGCGGUAAUUCCAGCUCCAAUAGCGUAUAUUAAAGUUGUUGCAGUUAAAAAGCUCGUAGUUGAAUUUCGGGGUUAGUAGGUUGGUCAUGCCACUGGUAUGUACUGAUCUUACUGAUUCCUCCUUCCUGAUGAACCGUAAUGCCAUUAAUUUGGUGUUGCGGGGAGACUGGACUGUUACUUUGAAAAAAUUAGAGUGUUUAAAGCAGGCUAACGCUUGAAUACAUUAGCAUGGAAUAAUGAAAUAGGACGUUCGAUCCUAUUUUGUUGGUUUCUAGGAUUGACGUAAUGAUUAAUAGGGAUAGUUGGGGGCAUUAGUAUUCAAUUGUCAGAGGUGAAAUUCUUGGAUUUAUUGAAGACUAACUACUGCGAAAGCAUUUGCCAAGGAUGUUUUCAUUAAUCAAGAACGAAAGUUAGGGGAUCGAAGACGAUCAGAUACCGUCGUAGUCUUAACCAUAAACUAUGCCGACUAGGGAUCGGAUGAUGUUAAUUUUUUAAUGUACUCAUUCGGCGCCUU